CAUUUUCCACUCGUUCGCCGACUGUUUGUGCUGGGAUCCUAGUGGCUGGAAAAUGUAAAAAGCUCUACCGAUUGCGAAUCGCAAUCCCCCAAGGUCCGUAUAAUCCCAAGUGGCUCUGUACGGUAGCUGCAGUUGAUUAAUACCUUGCUCAAAUAGUACAGAUGAUAAGACAAGCCGAGAGAUCCUCGUUAGAUUUAAUGUGUCGCACAAGUAUUUUAUUAGAUUUCCAUGCCCAAUUAGCACACUUUAGUCACUUUACACCCUUAUCAUUCACAUUUUGCACUUGAGCUUGCUCAUUUACAAGGCUCUUCCAAUAAAGUGGCCCAAUUCGUGUCAUUAUCGUAUUGAGUUUCAAGAUUCAACGCCGAUUUCCCACAUUUACGAGCUGUUAUCACUCGUGUUCAACUUAUCGGUGAAGGAUAACGCAAGCUACUAUCAACUGUAACGAUGGAUAAACAAGAUAGCAGCAUUCGUAGUAAAUGUUUUCGAUUAUGCCCGGCAAAAUAGUUGCCCCACUUGAGAGCGAGUCAAUCAUUUAAUCGCAUGUUAUUACAUACCCAAAACCAUAAUUUCACUUUUGCCAUUUGAAAGGGAAAAUGCUCAAGUGAAAAAUUACAGAAAUUUGAAUCUAAAUGGAAAUUAUAGAAAUUAUUUUGAUUUACUAUCUUUAGCUUGGCGCGUGUGGAUGAAAUUUUCUUUGACACUUUGUCAUGUGUUUUCUUAGCCUGAUAACAGAAAUAUCGCCUAUUUCUAGGCAAAUACGAGUCUUUUGAGUCGAACGACAAACAAAAUUU
Molecule: long non-coding RNA, 794 nt
Organism: Drosophila simulans
Lineage: Eukaryota; Metazoa; Arthropoda; Insecta; Diptera; Drosophilidae
Exons: 2
Source: RefSeq, a predicted model, not a curated record